CGGCGUGCCUAAUACAUGCAAGUCGAACGCUUUUAUCUCACCGGGUGCUUGCACCCACCGAGAUAAAGGAGUGGCGGACGGGUGAGUAACACGUGGGUAACCUGCCCAUAAGUGGGGGAUAACAUUGCGGAAACGGAUGCUAAUACCGCAUAUCUCUAUUGGCCUCAUGGCCAAGUGAUGAAAGGCGGCUUCGGCUGUCGCUUAUGGAUGGACCCGCGGCGCAUUAGUUAGUUGGUGAGGUAACGGCUCACCAAGACGAUGAUGCGUAGCCGACCUGAGAGGGUGAUCGGCCACACUGGGACUGAGACACAGCCCACACUCCUACAGGAGGCAGCAUUAGGGAAUCUUCCGCAAUGGACUAAAGUCUGACUGAGCAACGCCGCGUGAGUGAAGAAUGUUUUCGGAACGUAAAACUCUGUUGUUAGAGAAGAACAAGGAUGAGAGUAACUGCUCGUCCCUUGACGGUAUCUAACCAGAAAGCCAUGGCUAACUACGUGCCAGCAGCCGCGGUAAUACGUAGAUGGCAAGCGUUGUCCGGAUUUAUUGGGCGUAAAGCGAGUGCAAGCGGUUCUUUAAGUCUGAUGUGAAAGCCCCUGGCUUAACCAGGGAGGGUCAUUGGAAACUGGAGGACUUGAGUGCAGAAGAGGAAAGUGGAAUUCCAUGUGUAGCGGUGAAAUGCGUAGAUAUAUGGAGGAACACCAGUGGCGAAGGCGACUUUCUGGUCUGUAACUGACGCUGAGACUCGAAAGCAUGGGGAGCAAACAAGAUUAGAUACCCUGGUAGUCCAUGCCGUAAACGAUGAGUGCUAAGUGUUGGAAGGUUUCCCCCCCUUCCAUGCUGCAGCUAAACGCAUUAAGCAUUCCCGCUUGGGGAGUACGCCGGCAGGGUUGAAAUUCAAAGGAAUGGACGGGGGCCGGCACAAGCGGUGGACCAUGUGGUUAAAUUGGAAGCAACGGGAAGACCCUUCCCAGGUCUUGACAUCCUUUAACCACUCUAGAGAUAGAGCUUUCCUUUGGGGGAUAAAGUGACAGGUGGUGCAUGGUGGUGUUCAGUUGGUGUCGUGAGAUGUUGGGUUAAGUCCGGCAAGGAGCGCAACCUUAUCUAUUAGUUGCCAGCAUUCAGUUGGGCACUCUAGUGAGACUGCCGGUGACAAACCGGAGGAAGGUGGGGAUGACGUCAAAUCAUCAUGCCCCUUAUGACUUGGGCUACACACGUGCUACAAUGGAAGGUACAAAGAGAUGCGAAACAGUGAUGUCUAGCUAAUCUCUUAAAGCCAUUUUCAGUUCGGAUUGUAGGUUGCAAUUCGCCUACAUGAAGCUGGAAUCGCUAGUAAUCGCGGAUCAGCACGCCGCGGUGAAUACGUUCCCGGGCCUUGUACACACCGCCCGUCACACCCCGAGAGUCUGUAACACCCAAAGUCGGUGAGGUAACCUUCGGGAACCAGCCGCCUAAGGUGGGAUGGAUAAUUGGGGUGAAG
RNAcentral lists this ribosomal RNA (1477 nucleotides) under uncultured bacterium. RNAcentral's name for it is "bacterial SSU rRNA". It matches the Rfam family "Bacterial small subunit ribosomal RNA". The record is from RNAcentral.